GUCGAGAAUAAUUCACAAUGGACGAAAGUCUGAUGGUGCAACGCCGCGUGGAGGAUGAAGGUCUUCGGAUUGUAAACUCCUGUCAUCGGGGAGUAAGACCUGGCGGUAAAUAGCCGACAGGGUUGAUAGUACCCGAAGAGGAAGGGACGGCUAACUUCGUGCCAGCAGCCGCGGUAAUACGAAGGUCCCAAGCGUUGUUCGGAAUCACUGGGCGUAAAGGGAGCGUAGGCGGCGCGGUAAGUCAGGUGUGAAAUCCCGGGGCUCAACCCCGGAACUGCACCCGAUACUGCCGUGCUAGAGGGUUGGAGAGGUGACUGGAAUUCUCGGUGUAGCAGUGAAAUGCGUGGAUAUCGAGAGGAACACUCGUGGCGAAGGCGAGUCACUGGACAACAUCUGACGCUGAGGCUCGAAGGCCAGGGGAGCAAAAGGGAUUAGAUACCCUUGUAGUCC
Molecule: ribosomal RNA, 450 nt
Filed under: uncultured bacterium
Lineage: Bacteria
Description: partial 16S ribosomal RNA
Rfam family: Bacterial small subunit ribosomal RNA
Source: RNAcentral